This 422-nucleotide ribosomal RNA is filed under the name Streptococcus pneumoniae. RNAcentral's name for it is "bacterial SSU rRNA". It matches the Rfam family "Bacterial small subunit ribosomal RNA", at positions 1 to 414 of the family's 1533-position model. The record is from RNAcentral. Lineage: Bacteria; Bacillati; Bacillota; Bacilli; Lactobacillales; Streptococcaceae.
UUUUAAUGAGAGUUUGAUCCUGGCUCAGGACGAACGCUGGCGGCGUGCCUAAUACAUGCAAGUAGAACGCUGAAGGAGGAGCUUGCUUCUCUGGAUGAGUUGCGAACGGGUGAGUAACGCGUAGGUAACCUGCCUGGUAGCGGGGGAUAACUAUUGGAAACGAUAGCUAAUACCGCAUAAGAGUGGAUGUUGCAUGACAUUUGCUUAAAAGGUGCACUUGCAUCACUACCAGAUGGACCUGCGUUGUAUUAGCUAGUUGGUGAGGUAACGGCUCACCAAGGCGACGAUACAUAGCCGACCUGAGAGGGUGAUCGGCCACACUGGGACUGAGACACGGCCCAGACUCCUACGGGAGGCAGCAGUAGGGAAUCUUCGGCAAUGGACGGAAGUCUGACCGAGCAACGCCGCGUGAGUGAAGAAGG